RNAcentral lists this ribosomal RNA (363 nucleotides) under uncultured Erysiphe. RNAcentral's name for it is "eukaryotic LSU rRNA". The stretch from base 1 to 125 matches the Rfam family "5.8S ribosomal RNA", at positions 30 to 154 of the family's 154-position model. Lineage: Eukaryota; Fungi; Ascomycota; Leotiomycetes; Helotiales; Erysiphaceae. The record is from RNAcentral.
GCAUCGAUGAAGAACGCAGCGAAAUGCGAUAAGUAAUGUGAAUUGCAGAAUUUAGUGAAUCAUCGAAUCUUUGAACGCACAUUGCGCCCCUUGGUAUUCCGAGGGGCAUGCCUGUUCGAGCGUCAUAACACCCCCUCCAGCUGCCUUUGUGUGGUUGCGGUGUUGGGGCCCGUCGCGUUGCGGCAGCUCUUAAAGAUAGUGGCGGUCCUGGCGUGGGCUCUACGCGUAGUAACUUGCUUCUCGCGACAGAGUGACGACAGUGGCUUGCCAAAAGCCCGUUUGUUCCAGUCACAUGGAUCACAGGUUGACCUCGAAUCAGGUAGGAAUACCCGCUGAACUUAAGCAUAUCAAUAAGCGGAGGAA